AGCGACUAAGCCAUGCAAGUUUAACGGUUCUUCGGAUCCGUGGCGCACUGCUCCGUAACACGUAGAUAACCUACCCUAGAGGUCGGGGAAACUCCCGGGAAACUGGGCCUAAUCCCCGAUAGGUAAGUUGUACUGGAAUGUCUUCUUACUCAAACCUCCGGGGCCCUAGGAUGGGUCUGCGGCGGAUUAUGGUUGUAGGUGGGGUAACGGCCCACCUAGCCGGUGAUCCGUACCGGACAUGAGAGUGUGAGCCGGGAGAUGGCCACUGAGACAACGGGCCAGGCCCUACGGGGCGCAGCAGGCGCGAAAACUCCGCAAUGCCCGCAAGGGUGACGGGGGUAUCCCGAGUGCUCCCUUAGCCGGAAGCUUUUCCUGAGUGUAAUGAGCUUGGAGAAUAAGG
Molecule: ribosomal RNA, 400 nt
Filed under: uncultured archaeon
Lineage: Archaea
Description: SSU rRNA
Rfam family: Archaeal small subunit ribosomal RNA
Source: RNAcentral